RNAcentral lists this ribosomal RNA (438 nucleotides) under uncultured bacterium. Its description in RNAcentral is "bacterial SSU rRNA". It matches the Rfam family "Bacterial small subunit ribosomal RNA", at positions 954 to 1392 of the family's 1533-position model. The record is from RNAcentral.
GCAUAACGCGAAGAACCUUACCAAGGCUUGACAUGCAUUUCUAAGCGCGUGAAAGCGCGUGACCCUUCGGGGGACUUGCACAGGUGCUGCAUGGCCGUCGUCAGCUCGUGUCGUGAGAUGUUGGGUUAAGUCCCGCAACGAGCGCAACCCUUGUGACUAGUUGCCAGCACGUUAUGGUGGGAACUCUAGUCAGACUGCCCAGAUCAACUGGGAGGAAGGUGGGGACGACGUCAGGUCAGUAUGGCCCUUACGCCUUGGGCUGCACACGUACUACAAUGCCCAGCACAAUGAGAACCGAGACCGCGAGGUGGAGGAAAUCUAAAAAACUGGGCCCAGUUCGGAUUGGAGGCUGCAACUCGCCUCCAUGAAGUUGGAAUCGCCAGUAAUGGCGCAUCAUCUACGGCGCCGUGAAUACGUUCCCGGGUCUUGUACACACCG